Molecule: small nucleolar RNA, 88 nt
Organism: Phoenix dactylifera (date palm)
Lineage: Eukaryota; Viridiplantae; Streptophyta; Magnoliopsida; Arecales; Arecaceae
Product: small nucleolar RNA U31b
Source: RefSeq, a predicted model, not a curated record
GAGCGUGAUGAUAUGCUAAUGUCGCCCCAGUCUUACGAUCCGUUCACCUUGUGAAUGGAUGAUGGUGAUAGACAUUUUUAUCUGAUUC